GACGAACGCUGGCGGCGUGCUUAACACAUGCAAGUCGAACGGAAAGGCCCUGCUUUUGUGGGGUGCUCGAGUGGCGAACGGGUGAGUAACACGUGAGUAACCUGCCCUUGACUUUGGGAUAACUUCAGGAAACUGGGGCUAAUACCGGAUAGGAGCUCCUGCUGCAUGGUGGGGGUGGGAAAGUUUCGGCGGUUGGGGAUGGACUCGCGGCUUAUAAGCUUGUUGGUGGGGUAGUGGUUUACCAAGGCUUUGACGGGUAGCCGGCCUGAGAGGGUGACCGGCCACAUUGGGACUGAGAUACGGCCCAGACUCAUACGGGAGGCAGCAGUGGGGAAUAUUGCACAAUGGGCGGAAGCCUGAUGCAGCAACGCCGCGUGCGGGAUAACGGCCUUCGGGUUGUAAACCGCUUUCGCCUGUGACGAAGCGUGAGUGACGGUAAUGGGUAAAGAAGCACCGGCUAACUACGUG
Molecule: ribosomal RNA, 468 nt
Filed under: uncultured bacterium
Lineage: Bacteria
Description: partial 16S ribosomal RNA
Rfam family: Bacterial small subunit ribosomal RNA
Source: RNAcentral